RNAcentral lists this long non-coding RNA (915 nucleotides) under Helianthus annuus (common sunflower). The record is from RNAcentral. Lineage: Eukaryota; Viridiplantae; Streptophyta; Magnoliopsida; Asterales; Asteraceae.
UUGUUUUGGCUGACUCUUUUUGGAGUGAAGAUUUUCAUUCUUACCCCGCUCUUCAGAAUCUCUUCUCAAAACCAUAGAUAUCACAACAUGUUUCAAAUGUUGUUACGUUCAUUAUUGGGUAGAAGCACACUGGAAUCUUUCCGCUGUCUUAGACGCACAAGGAUAUAAAUGACAACUCUUUAGGCCCUGAUGGUGAUCUUCGAGUCUAUCUAGAAAGUGUGGCCGCCAGUGAAAAUGUCAAAACAUUUGGAAUUCAAGGAAGAAUAGUAAACAUUACAGGAACAGAUGACUGUGUCUAGGUCCUCUCUACCUUCGGUCUUUAGUAGAGGUGGAAAAUGGCUCGAUUGGAUGAGUUAGGUAAUGGGUCAAAGCUGGUGGAUUUGUUCACUCGACGCUCAUACCGCGUUGGGGGUAGCGAUGCAAACCGGGCAAGCAUCAAUGUCACCGAAGGUCUGUGUUGGUGAAAUAAUGCGUGGAUAUGAUCUGCUUUCAAAUAUAUGCUCAGAGCUAAAAACUUCAUGAGAACUCAGCUAAAGACUUCAUGAAAACUCAUAAUUUUUCAACAACCAUAGAAGAUAUGCUCAGAGCUAAAGACUUCAUGAGAAUUUAGAGCCCUAACUACUGCACGACGUUGAGACAGGCAGAGCAUUCAGCGGGCGGAAGUGGCUCUGAAUGCACUCGCGAGCCGUGGUCCGUCGAAUUCGUUAGCGGCAAGGAUUUUGGAUGAGACAAGGGUGUACAAGAACCUACUGCAGGAUGGAGGGUUUGAUCUUUUUCAUGUUGGACAUGUUGAAGUAUGUAGCCUGUUGAUUUCUUAUCUUCAUCCAUCGGUAUUUUUUAAAUCCAUCUUUUUACUUCAUUUAUCCUCUUAUUGUAUAUGUUAGUCUUUGAUUUGUGUAUGUUUCAUGCAUUGCU